UCUGGCCUGUCGAGGGUAAGUCCCCAC
Molecule: non-coding RNA, 27 nt
Filed under: Mus musculus (house mouse)
Lineage: Eukaryota; Metazoa; Chordata; Mammalia; Rodentia; Muridae
Source: RNAcentral